AGGCAGCAGUGGGGAAUAUUGCACAAUGGGCGGAAGCCUGAUGCAGCAACGCCGCGUGCGGGAUGACGGCCUUCGGGUGUAAACCGCUUUCGCCUGUGACGAAGCGUGAGUGACGGUAAUGGGUAAAGAAGCACCGGCUAACUACGUGCCAGCAGCCGCGGUAAU
Molecule: ribosomal RNA, 165 nt
Filed under: uncultured bacterium
Lineage: Bacteria
Description: partial 16S ribosomal RNA
Rfam family: Bacterial small subunit ribosomal RNA
Source: RNAcentral